CCUACGGGAGGCUGCAGUGGGGAAUAUUGCGCAAUGGACGAAAGUCUGACGCAGCAACGCCGCGUGAGGGAUGACGGCCUUCGGGUUGUAAACCUCUUUCAGCAGGGACGAAGCGAGAGUGACGGUACCUGCAGAAGAAGGACCGGCCAACUACGUGCCAGCAGCCGCGGUAAUACGUAGGGUCCGAGCGUUGUCCGGAAUUAUUGGGCGUAAAGGGCUCGUAGGCGGUUCGUCACGUCGGGAGUGAAAACUCGGAGCUUAACUCCGAGCCUGCUUCCGAUACGGGCAGACUAGAGGUAGGCAGGGGAGAGCGGAACUCCUGGUGUAGCGGUGGAAUGCGCAGAUAUCAGGAAGAACACCGGUGGCGAAGGCGGCUCUCUGGGCCUUACCUGACGCUGAGGAGCGAAAGCGUGGGUAGCGAACAGGAUUAGAUACCCGGGUAGUC
RNAcentral lists this ribosomal RNA (445 nucleotides) under uncultured Kribbella sp. Its description in RNAcentral is "bacterial SSU rRNA". It matches the Rfam family "Bacterial small subunit ribosomal RNA", at positions 338 to 795 of the family's 1533-position model. The record is from RNAcentral. Lineage: Bacteria; Bacillati; Actinomycetota; Actinomycetes; Propionibacteriales; Kribbellaceae.